This 406-nucleotide ribosomal RNA is filed under the name uncultured bacterium. Its description in RNAcentral is "partial 16S ribosomal RNA". It matches the Rfam family "Bacterial small subunit ribosomal RNA", at positions 30 to 526 of the family's 1533-position model. The record is from RNAcentral.
AUUGAACGCUGGCGGCAGGCCUAAAACAUGCAAGUCGAACGAGUGGCGGACGGGUGAGUAAUGUAUGGGAAACUGCCUCAUGGAUGGGGAUAACUCCUGGAAAGGGUAGCUAAUACCGCAUACCAUCGGAUGUGCCCAGAUGGGAUUAGCUAGUAGGUGGGGUAAAGGCUCACCUAGGCGACGAUCCCUAGCUCGUCUGAGAGGAUGACCAGCCACACUGGAACGGAGACACGGUCCAGACUCCUACGGGAGGCAGCAGUCGGGAAUAUUGCACAAUGGGCGAAAGCCUGAUGCAGCCAUGCCGCGUGUGUGAAGAAGGCCUUCGGGUUGUAAUGUACUUUCAGCGGGGAGGCGUUACCCGCAGAAGAAGCACCGGCUAACUCCGGGCCAGCAGCCGCGGUAAUAC